UGGGGAAUUUUGGACAAUGGGCGAAAGCCUGAUCCAGCAAUGCCGCGUGUGUGAAGAAGGCCUUCGGGUUGUAAAGCACUUUUGUCCGGAAAGAAAUCCUUGGCUCUAAUACAGUCGGGGGAUGACGGUACCGGAAGAAUAAGCACCGGCUAACUACGUGCCAGCAGCCGCGGUAAUACGUAGGGUGCAAGCGUUAAUCGGAAUUACUGGGCGUAAAGCGUGCGCAGGCGGUUUGCUAAGACCGAUGUGAAAUCCCCGGGCUCAACCUGGGAACUGCAUUGGUGACUGGCAGGCUAGAGUAUGGCAGAGGGGGGUAGAAUUCCACGUGUAGCAGUGAAAUGCGUAGAGAUGUGGAGGAAUACCGAUGGCGAAGGCAGCCCCCUGGGCCAAUACUGACGCUCAUGCACGAAAGCGUGGGGAGCAAACAGGAUUNAUACCCUGGUAGUCCACGCCCUAAACGAUGUCAACUAGUUGUUGGGGAUUCAUUUCCUUAGUAACGUAGCUAACGCGUGAAGUUGACCGCCUGGGGAGUACGGUCGCAAGAUUAAAACUCAAAUGAAUUGACGGGGUC
RNAcentral lists this ribosomal RNA (571 nucleotides) under uncultured bacterium. RNAcentral's name for it is "partial 16S ribosomal RNA". It matches the Rfam family "Bacterial small subunit ribosomal RNA", at positions 355 to 920 of the family's 1533-position model. The record is from RNAcentral.